This is a long non-coding RNA of Leucoraja erinaceus (little skate), 2284 nucleotides long. RefSeq lists it as uncharacterized. The transcript has 3 exons. The record is from RefSeq and is a predicted model, not a curated record. NCBI's taxonomy places the organism in Eukaryota, Metazoa, Chordata, Chondrichthyes, Rajiformes, Rajidae.
AGGACAUCCUGGUAUGGGUGGGCCAAUGCAGAGAAUGAACCCUCCUCCACGGGGGAUGGGCCCAAUGGGACAGCAGUCUGAUCCUUGGUUAUCGUUGCAGAACUAUGGCGGUUCAAUGAGACCUCCACCCAAUUCAAUAGGUCCCGGCAUGGCGGGAAUGAACAUGGGUCCCGGGGCCGGACGGCCAUGGCCUAAUCCUUCUAAUGCCAACUCAGUGAGUAAUACUGCUUUUACAUGCUGUUACACAUGUGUCACAGUAUAGUAAUAAGGCGUUUUUCCCAACAGAUCCAUCCCUGUGUUUGCAUUUCACACAGUAUUGUGUCCUCUACCUUUAAUAUAACAUUCUAUUCCUUUAUUUAUCAUACUUAUAAAUACUAUUUGUCUUAGCCGCUCCGUAUGGAAGAGCAUAAGAAAAUAGGACUUGCCUGCUCAGGCCUCAGCUCCUCAUCUGUGGUGGCUCCCCAUCAUCCUGAUCUUACAAAAAUGUAUUAACUCUUUACCAAUGCCCUGUGACCUGGCCUCCGCAACCUGCGGGGUAGAAAGUUCGAGAGAUUCACUGCCCUCUGAGAAAUUGCAACACUCUCAUGGUAAUGAAGCACUCGUGAGUCCCUCUUGGAUUUUGCAAUGCUUUGAUGCCUUCAAGUGGGAAUAACUUCAAGUCUACACUUCUGCUGACAUCAAGAUCUCCAUUAGAUCAUCUUGGAAACGUUUGGAUUCUAUUUGGUAUCAUCUCAUACGGCACAACUCUUUUGCAUCCAUUUUCUUUGUUACAAAUAUCUAACAGCCAAUGUAAUAAAGAACCAUAUAAAAUUGAUAACAUAGGAGGCCAUUUGGCCCAUCAUGUUAGUGACGGCAGAAAUAGUAAUCCCACCUUCCACCACUAGGCCCGCAGCGUGUAAAUUUAUUGGUUUCCACGUACACAUCCAAAUACAGUUUAAAUGCAGUUAGGGUUUCUGCCACAACCAUCCUUUCAGAAUUCCAGAGCACUAUCACGCUCUGGGAGAAAAAUGACCACCUUGCAACACCUCCAAUAAUUCACCAAUUUCUUUAAAUCCUUGUCUCAGGUUUAGGAUGUUCCACAGAAGGGAAAUAUGUUCUUCCUAUUUACACUGAACUGCAUAAAAUCUCUCCCCCUAAGUUUCUGUUUCAAAGAAAGCAAUGUUAGCUUAUUCAAUCUUACCUCAUGUCUGCAGUUUCUCAAUGUCUUUAAGUCUUUUCUGCACCCACUCUGGCACAAUUGCUUCUUUCCAGUAACGAGGUGACCAGAGCUGUACAGAAUAUUUGUGCUCUGUCUGCAAAGCUAAAAUUGCCAAAGAAAAAAAAAGAUGGGAAUGUUUUGGUGGUUAAUAUAAAGGCAACCUGUAGGAUCUUUUAUUGGAACAUAAAAAAUAAAACAUUAACAAGGGCGUGGGUGGGCCUUUUGCAGACCCGCAAGAGAAUUUAUAAUGCAAUUAAGAUUAGUUACUUUUCGUCCAUUAAGGAUGACCCACAAAAUCUGCCAGAUUUACUCGGUCAAGAGUGUACUGUAAGUGGGGAAGUGAAGGGACUCUGUUAGACAAAAAAAAAGUCAGUCCAUCAGUUACGUAAGGGUUCCGUGCCAGGGAAGUGUCCAUAAGCCAAUUCUCCAAGUCAGAAACACACAUUUUCUAUAGUAACGCACAUCUUAUCAGUUUGUGUAAACUUGCUGUAAUUUAAUUGAGUAGCCACCUUAAUAAUACCCAUAAUUAAUCUAAAGAAACAUGUAUUGUUUCCAGACACCAGAGAAUAUUGCUAGCAUUAAAAAUGAUUUACAAAUGUAUGGAGAAUUUGUAGAAAAUCAGAUUACUGAAAAACAGGUUAAUUGUUACCCAGAGAGCCCCUGUACUGGUGCAGUUGGCAAACUUGAAAAUUGAUCAUUCAUAAGGAUUGAAUGGUUUACAGUUUUGAAUGAGAUGGUUUUGGAGAUGGUGGUUGUGGACGCAAGCCAAACCAUUAUGCAAAGCAACGUAAUGCUUUGGCUCCAUUUCCACUUCACACUGCAUCAGCAGGCCACCAUCAUAAUCAAGGAGCAGUCUCGCCCCAGUCACUCCUUCCUCUCCCCUCUCCCAUCAGGCAAGAGAUACCGAAGUUGGAAAACACAUACCUCCAGAUUCAGGGAGAGUUUUUUCCCAGCUGUUAAAAAGCACUGGAAUAGUGCUCUCGUGCUAUUCCAGGUCUUGGGCCUGAUGAUGGCAGCAUAGUAAUACUGUUCUAAAUUGGGAUACUCUGGCUUAGAGGGGGACACAAUUUAGAGCACAGAAGUCUC